UUAGUGGCGGACGGGUGAGUAACGCGUGAGAAUCUGCCUCUAGGUCGGGGACAACAACUGGAAACGGUUGCUAAUACCCGAUGUGCAGCAAUGUGAAAGAUUUAUUGCCUAGAGAUGAGCUCGCGUCUGAUUAGCUAGUAGGUGUGGUAAUGGCGCACCUAGGCGACGAUCAGUAACUGGUCUGAGAGGAUGACCAGUCACACUGGGACUGAGACACGGCCCAGACUCCUACGGGAGGCAGCAGUGGGGAAUUUUCCGCAAUGGGCGAAAGCCUGACGGAGCAAUACCGCGUGAGGGACGAAGGCUUUUGGGUCGUAAACCUCUUUUCCCUGAGAAGAAGAUCUGACGGUAUCAGGGGAAUCAGCAUCGGCUAACUUCGUGCCAGCAGCCGCGGUAAUACGAGGGAUGCAAGCGUUAUCCGGAAUUAUUGGGCGUAAAGCGUCCGCAGGUGGCUCUGUAAGUCUGUCGUUAAAGAAUGGGGCUCA
Molecule: ribosomal RNA, 485 nt
Filed under: uncultured cyanobacterium
Lineage: Bacteria; Bacillati; Cyanobacteriota
Description: bacterial SSU rRNA
Rfam family: Bacterial small subunit ribosomal RNA
Source: RNAcentral